ACUCAAAGGAAUUGACGGGGGCCCGCACAAGCGGUGGAGCAUGUGGUUCAAUUCGACGCAACGCGCAGAACCUUACCUGGGUUAAAUCCACUGGAAGUUGACAGAGAUGUCGAUGUGCUCUUCGGAGAGCCAGUGAGAAGGUGCUGCAUGGCUGUCGUCAGCUCGUGUCGUGAGAUGUUGGGUUAAGUCCCGCAACGAGCGCAACCUCUGUCGUUAGUUGCCAGCCUUAAGUGGGGCACUCUAACGAGACUGCCGACGUCAAGUCGGAGGAAGGUGGAGAUGACGUCAAGUCCUCAUGGACCUUAUGCCCAGGGCUACACACGUGCUACAAUGGCCGGUACAAAGGGAUGCAAGACCGCGAGGUGGAGCCAAUCCCAAAAAACCGUCCUCAGUUCGGAUUGUAGUCUGCAACUCGACUACAUGAAGCUGGAAUCGCUAGUAAUCGUAGAUCAGCAUGCUACGGUGAAUACGUUCCCGGGCCUUGUACACACCGCCCGU
RNAcentral lists this ribosomal RNA (498 nucleotides) under uncultured bacterium. RNAcentral describes it as "partial 16S ribosomal RNA". It matches the Rfam family "Bacterial small subunit ribosomal RNA", at positions 899 to 1397 of the family's 1533-position model. The record is from RNAcentral.